GCAGGUCCUAAGACUCAUCAGAGCAACAACAAAAUCCAUCUCAACAUGGAAGAACAGCACAUCUGGGGAAGCACAAGCCCAGCUAAAACAAGAACAGACUGGAACCUUGUUAUCUUCUUGCUGCUUUGACCCUGGACUGAUUUGACAACUCUGACUUCUGGUAUCCUGGCCUUGGCUUGGCUUUUGGACUGCUCUGACUUCUGCUAUCCUGACCUUGGCUUGGCUUUUGGACUGCUCUGACUUCUGGUAUCCUGACUUCGGCUUAGCUUUUUGGACUGCUCUCACGUUUACUCCUUGCAAGCUUUUCAAGAUGGGCCAUGCUUCAAGCAGCUCUUCAGCAAAUAGCGCAUGAUCCUUUGGUGCCACCUACUGAUAAACAGAGGACAACAUCCUACUAACAGUAACUACCAAAGACGUUAUGAUUGUUGAAGAAAGUGGAGGAAGAAAGUGCAAUGGUUGGUUUAGAGUUGAACAUUAAAAAACCAAACCAAUGACCACAGAUGAUUUACAUAACUUUAAAGCAGAUGAUGAAGGCACUGAGAUAGUUGGAGAUUUUUCAUACUUUGGCUCAAAUCAGAAUGGAGACUGUAGUCAUGAAUACGUGAAUGUAGUGAAGAUUAGGACUCGGAAGGGCAACUAUGAAUGAAAUGUAAAGAUAUAUAAAUGAAUAUUAAAACCACCAUGGUACAGGCAUAGUAUAAGCCAUUGUAUUUUCCAUCUCUAUGUAUAGGCGUGGAAGCUGAACAGUGAAGAAAGGUGAAACAAACAAAAAAUUAACUCAUUUGUAGUGUGAUGCUGGAGAAGU
This is a long non-coding RNA of Sceloporus undulatus (fence lizard), 805 nucleotides long. RefSeq lists it as uncharacterized. The transcript is spliced from 3 exons. NCBI's taxonomy places the organism in Eukaryota, Metazoa, Chordata, Lepidosauria, Squamata, Phrynosomatidae. The record is from RefSeq and is a predicted model, not a curated record.